UGGGGGAUCGUCUAACGGUAGGACAACGGACUCUGACUCCGUUUAUCUUGGUUCGAAUCCAAGUCCCCCAGCCA
This 74-nucleotide transfer RNA is filed under the name Nevskia sp. Its description in RNAcentral is "tRNA-Gln". It matches the Rfam family "tRNA". From Rfam's summary of the family: Transfer RNA (tRNA) molecules are approximately 80 nucleotides in length. RNAcentral also lists the same sequence under 5 other names. The record is from RNAcentral. Lineage: Bacteria; Pseudomonadati; Pseudomonadota; Gammaproteobacteria; Nevskiales; Nevskiaceae.